RNAcentral lists this ribosomal RNA (254 nucleotides) under uncultured bacterium. RNAcentral describes it as "partial 16S ribosomal RNA". It matches the Rfam family "Bacterial small subunit ribosomal RNA", at positions 524 to 776 of the family's 1533-position model. The record is from RNAcentral.
UACGGGGGGAGCAAGCGUUGUUCGGAUUUACUGGGCGGAAAGGGCGCGUAGGCGGUCAGCACAAGUCAGUUGUGAAAUCUCCGGGCUUAACCCGGAACGGUCAACUGAUACUGUGCGACUAGAGUGCGGAAGGGGCAACUGGAAUUCUCGGUGUAGCGGUGAAAUGCGUAGAUAUCGAGAGGAACACCUGCGGCGAAGGCGGGUUGCUGGGCCGACACUGACGCUGAUGCGCGAAAGCCAGGGGAGCGAACGGG